AUGAGUGCGUUAGUGUGGACCUGUCGCGGGGCUGGCAAACCCGCGACAGUUCGCGAGCUUCGAGAUCUAUUGAAGCAAUUUGUCCCCUCUAUCAUUUGUAUUGUCGAAACCCAAAUAGAGGGAACUCGUGUGGAAAACUUGGCAGGAUCUUUAGGGUACAAUAAAGGUUUUGUUGUUAGCAGCAAUGGCAGGAGUGGUGGUCUAGGGAUUUUUUGGAAUGAUGAAAUAAAGCUUGAAGUGAUUGGUUACUCUGAGUAUCAUAUAGAUGUUACAGUUGACGAAAUGGUCGAAGCAAAAACAAGAAUAACUUUUGUAUACGGCGAGGCCCAAGUUAGUGAGAGACACAAAACUUGGGACAUGCUUCGAGGUAUAGUUGGAAACGGAAACCUGCCAUGGGUGGUGAUCGGUGAUUUUAACGAGGUGCUUCAUGCAAAUGAACAUGAUGGGGUAGGACAGAGGAGUCAAGCUUAG
This 471-nucleotide ribosomal RNA is filed under the name Triticum aestivum (bread wheat). Its description in RNAcentral is "partial small subunit ribosomal RNA". Lineage: Eukaryota; Viridiplantae; Streptophyta; Magnoliopsida; Poales; Poaceae. The record is from RNAcentral.